UACAGAGGGUGCGAGCGUUAAUAGGAAUUCCUGGGCGUAAAGCGCACGUAGGCGGCGACGUAAGUCGGGUGUGAAAGCCCCGGGCUCAACCUGGGAAUUGCAUUCGAGACUGCAUUGCUGGAGUACGGAAGAGGAGGGCGGAAUUCCCGGUGUAGCGGUGAAAUGCGUAGAUAUCGGGAGGAACAUCAGUGGCGAAGGCGGCCCUCUGGUCCAGUACUGACACUCAAGUGCGAAAGCGUGGGGAGCAAACAGG
This 253-nucleotide ribosomal RNA is filed under the name uncultured bacterium. RNAcentral describes it as "partial 16S ribosomal RNA". It matches the Rfam family "Bacterial small subunit ribosomal RNA", at positions 524 to 776 of the family's 1533-position model. The record is from RNAcentral.